CGCGUAGGUGGUAGUGCAAGUCUGGGGUGGAAUCCCAGGGCUUAACCCUGGAACUGCCUUGGAAACUGUAUUACUUGAGUCAGUGAGGGGAGGGUAGAAUUCCUGGUGUAGCGGUGAAAUGCGUAGAUAUCAGGAGGAAGGCCUGUGGCGAAGGCGGCCCUCUGGCGCUGAACUGACACUGAGGCGCGAAAGCGUGGGGAGCAAACAGGAUUAGAUACCCUGGUAGUCCACGCCCUAAACGGUGGGUACUAGGUGUAGGGCUCGUGAGGGUUCUGUGCCGAAGCGAAAGCAUUAAGUACCCCGCCUGGGGAGUACGGCCGCAAGGUUGAA
RNAcentral lists this ribosomal RNA (330 nucleotides) under uncultured bacterium. RNAcentral's name for it is "bacterial SSU rRNA". It matches the Rfam family "Bacterial small subunit ribosomal RNA", at positions 568 to 898 of the family's 1533-position model. The record is from RNAcentral.